This 429-nucleotide ribosomal RNA is filed under the name uncultured bacterium. RNAcentral describes it as "bacterial SSU rRNA". It matches the Rfam family "Bacterial small subunit ribosomal RNA", at positions 355 to 776 of the family's 1533-position model. The record is from RNAcentral.
UGGGGAAUAUUGGGCAAUGGGCGAAAGCCUGACCAGCCACGCCGCGUGAGUGAUGAAGGCCUUCGGGUCGUAAAGCUCUGUGGGGAGGGACGAACAAGCCUGGUGCUAAUAUCACCGGGCCCUGACGGUACCUCCUUAGCAAGCACCGGCUAACCCUGUGCCAGCAGCCGCGGUAAUACAGGGGGUGCAAACGUUGCUCGGAAUCAUUGGGCGUAAAGCGCACGUAGGCGGUUCGUUAUGUCGGAUGUGAAAGCCCUCGGCUUAACUGAGGAAGUGCAUCCGAAACUGGCGAGCUAGAGUACUAAAGAGGGUCGCGGAAUUCCCGGUGUAGAGGUGAAAUUCGUAGAUAUCGGGAGGAACACCGGUGGCGAAGGCGGCGACCUGGGUAGAUACUGACGCUGAGGUGCGAAAGCGUGGGGAGCAAACAGG